Molecule: ribosomal RNA, 427 nt
Filed under: Lomentospora prolificans
Lineage: Eukaryota; Fungi; Ascomycota; Sordariomycetes; Microascales; Microascaceae
Description: Scedosporium prolificans Eukaryotic small subunit ribosomal RNA
Rfam family: Eukaryotic small subunit ribosomal RNA
Source: Rfam by way of RNAcentral
GCGUAUAUUAAAGUUGUUGUGGUUAAAAAGCUCGUAGUUGAACCUUGGGCCUGGCUGGCCGGUCCCCCUCACCGGGUGCACUGAUCCAGCCGGGCCUUUCCCUCUGUGGAACCCCAUGGCCUUCACUGGCUGUGGCGGGGAAACAGGACUUUUACUUUGAAAAAAUUAGAGUGCUCCAGGCAGGCCUAUGCUCGAAUACAUUAGCAUGGAAUAAUAGAAUAGGACGUGUGGUUCUAUUUUGUUGGUUUCUAGGACCGCCGUAAUGAUUAAUAGGGACAGUCGGGGGCAUCAGUAUUCAAUUGUCAGAGGUGAAAUUCUUGGAUCUAUUGAAGACUAACUACUGCGAAAGCAUUUGCCAAGGAUGUUUUCAUUGAUAAGGAACGAAAGUUAGGGGAUCGAAGACGAUCAGAUACCGUCGUAGUCUUAA